Non-coding RNA from Oryctolagus cuniculus (rabbit), 2636 nucleotides. Lineage: Eukaryota; Metazoa; Chordata; Mammalia; Lagomorpha; Leporidae. The record is from RefSeq and is a predicted model, not a curated record.
GCGGCAGCUGCACUAGCCCCAGCGCUGACAUAUUUAAAAGCUACUUCUGUCACAGCAGGUCUAUUUGAGAUGUUUUUUCCCAAAGGAGAACCCAGGGCUCUCCUGGAAGAAUCAGACUGUUGGAGGAAACAGUGGGGAGCAAUUCCUUGGUAGCUGAGGACUGCUGAGGCUUCCGAGUGUAAGUCCCGCCCACGAGCGUCCUGACUGGCGCAGGGUCACACUGCUGCACACGUCCCCUGCUGCGCACGAGCCUUCGCGUUGGCGUGCUCUGUGCACAUCCGCGCCGCGGGCGCCAUUUUCCCGCUGUGUUCUGUCUUGCUGCCUGCCUGAGACACAGUGAAAACAUGAGUGGCACAAGAGCAACAUCUAGAGCUAUGGGAGGAGGAAAUGCAGAAGAAAGUUUCCAAGAGCAAAUUGAACCUGUGGAGCCCCAGCAAUCUGGUGCUGAAGUACUUCAACUGGAGGAGCCAGCAGUUGAAAAUCAGGAGAUUCCAGUUGAUCAAGAUAUAGAAGAGGAGGGAGAACCUGAGGCUGAAGGGCCCCACGUGGAACCAGAUGUCCAGGAAAAUCUUCAGCUUGACCCUGGAGAUGUAUAUGAAAAUGGUCCUGAAUUCAAUGAGACAGCACCUCACAACUAGAGCACUACAGUGCCAGAGGCAGAUACUUCUGGUGUUGGAGAAUGAGUUUGGAUGGAUUUGCUCCCUUCUGAUAUUUGAGAACAGGUUGAGAAGGAUUGGUGUUCUUCCUUAAAAGUUCGAUGGACUUCAGCAUUGGUCCAUAGAUUUUCUUUGCUGGCGACUUUUCAUUACUGAGCUACUGGUGUUUUCAUGUUUUCUGUGUCUUCAUGGUUCAGUUUUGGUAAGGUAUGGAUAUCCAGAAAUUAAUUCAUCUCUAUUUUAGGUUUUCCAAUUUGUAGGUGUAUGGUUGUUUAUAGUAGUCCCAAAUAGCCGUUUGUAUUUCUGUGAUAUCAUUUGCAACAUAUCCUAUUCUGUGAUUUUACGGAGAAAGUAUUUAAUAUGCUAGAAAUCAUACAUUAUUUAUCAAAUCCCAGUAGUACCAGAAUCUAAACAUCACAGGCACCAUGGAUUUUUCCAUGUGGACAAGUUGUCGAUCAAACACAGUUCCAUUUAUUAACAAAUGCUUGUCUUUUCCAGGUGUCUCACUCUGCUUCUCAUUUCUGUCUCCAUUCCAUUCUCUGUUCGUUUCAUCAUUUCCUUUCUUGUCUCAAACGGUGAGACUUGGCAUAUGUAUCAUCACAGUUUGAUGGCAAAAAUGAUGGUGAUAGCAGAAAAUUUGUGUGACAGUGUAAUUCACUAUACAAACAUGAAUGCUUUCAAAUUUAAAAGGAAGUGUUAUUCAUAUGUACAGGUGGAAUAAAUGUGAAAACUGGAAACAAAUGAUUACACUUGCUUCUAAAAGAAACAUUAAAUGUAAAGAAAUAUUUUUGCACAUCUGCCCAAUCAAGGAGAAAACAAAUGCAAUACUGACUUUUCGUUGCAUUUCACUUAGGCAGUUCCAAUGUGACGACAUUAACAGUUGUAUCAGUGUUGUGUUCAGAAUAUGAUUUCAAACCAAAACAUCAAUCUUCAAAAAAGUAUACAUUUGCUGUUGGUAGGGAGAGAUGGCACCACACACACAGGCAGAGAGAGAGGCAGGCAGCUAGAGCCAGACCGAGCCAGUGAACUUGCUUCCAUUGGUUCACUUCCCAGAUGUCUGCAACAGCGGGGCUGUCUCAGGCUGAAACAAGGAGCCAGGAAAUCCAUCCGAGUUUCCUGCGUGGAUGUCAGGAACCCAAUUACCAUUCCGAUGACACGGGGGGUGUCAGGGCAGUCCAGGCUGUGCCGGUGACAUGGGCGGUGUCAGGGCAUCCUAGGCUGUGCCAGUGACACAGGUGGUGGCCGGGCACUCUAGGCUGUGCAGUCUGCAGAGUGGAGCUUCAGGGCAGGCCUGUGGCUGGUUCCCUUGGGGCCCUGCAUUUCCUAAGAUGGUUCCCCUGCACAGCCCGGCCCGUCUUAUAAAGAACUCAGGGGGAUCCCGAGAGGAAACAGCGAAACCUGGAAGCUGGAGGCAGCCUCUCUGCCCACCUUUGUCCAGGUCGGUGCAGUGAUUCUACUGUCCUAAGGGCAGCGGACAUACUCCCCACGCAGUUUGGAAAAGCCGCUGCAGCGCAGCUCAGACGCCCCCGUCCAUCCCAUGUGCCCACUCCCUCUCGGCACCAGGCCCACGGGCCACCUGCUCAGUGACACCAGGCCCAUUGGUUCCCCUGAAGAUUGAGGCUGCAGUCGCUCCCCAGCCCCGUCCAGGAGGACGUGUGCACAGGUGCGCAGGAGCACCAGUCACCUGCUCUCGGGUCUCCACUUUACCAGGGCCCGAUCAGAUGAGGGUGACCGGUCCUGGAGCCACCAUGGUGCCAACGCUUGGGUGGCCACUCACAUCUGGUGAGGUGGUGCAGUGUCCCUGGAGGAGAGCGGCGGAAGCCCCAUUCUGUUCCCAGUUUGCUGAGAAUACUUAUCUUGAGUACUGCUAACUUUCAUCAGUCACUUGUAGUGUGACUGCUAGGAUGAUCUUAGACCUUCUUCCACCGUGAAUCCAUAAAGUUGGUGUAUUACACUGGUACGAUUCUAUGUUUAUUCACU